Molecule: ribosomal RNA, 468 nt
Filed under: uncultured bacterium
Lineage: Bacteria
Description: partial 16S ribosomal RNA
Rfam family: Bacterial small subunit ribosomal RNA
Source: RNAcentral
GACGAACGCUGGCGGCGUGCUUAACACAUGCAAGUCGAACGGAAAGGCCCUGCUUUUGUGGGGUGCUCGAGUGGCGAACGGGUGAGUAACACGUGAGUAACCUGCCCUUGACUUUGGGAUAACUUCAGGAAACUGGGGCUAAUACCGGAUAGGAGCUCCUGCUGCAUGGUGGGGGUUGGAAAGUUUCGGCGGUUGGGGAUGGACUCGCGGCUUAUCAGCUUGUUGGUGGGGUAGUGGCUUACCAAGGCUUUGACGGGUAGCCGGCCUGAGAGGGUGACCGGCCACAAUGGGACUUAGGAACGGCCCCAGCUCCUACAGGAAGCAGCAGUUGGGAAUUUUUCACCAUUGGCCGAAGCCUUAUGCAGCAACGGCGCGUUCGGGAUUACGGCCUUCGGGUUUUAAACCGCUUUCGCCCGUUACGAAGCCGUAGUGGCGGUAAUUGGUUAAGAAGCACCGGCUAACUACGUG